GAUGAAGAACGUAGCAAAAUGCGAUAAGUAAUGUGAAUUGCAGAAUUCAGUGAAUCAUCGAAUCUUUGAACGCACAUUGCGCCCGCUGGUAUUCCGGCGGGCAUGCCUGUUCGAGCGUCAUUUCAACCCUCAAACCCCCGGGUUUGGUGUUGGGGAUCGGCUCUGCCUCACGGCGGUGCCGCCCCCGAAAUACAUUGGCGGUCUCGCUGCAGCCUCCAUUGCGUAGUAGCUAACACCUCGCAACUGGAACGCGGCGCGGCCAUGCCGUAAAACCCCAACUUCUGAAUGUUGACCUCGGAUCAGGUAGGAAUACCCGCUGAACUUAAGCAUAUCAUAAGCGAGGA
This 344-nucleotide unclassified non-coding RNA is filed under the name soil metagenome. RNAcentral's name for it is "partial contains 5.8S ribosomal RNA, internal transcribed spacer 2, and large subunit ribosomal RNA". The stretch from base 1 to 120 matches the Rfam family "5.8S ribosomal RNA", at positions 35 to 154 of the family's 154-position model. The record is from RNAcentral.